GAUAGAGGCCUUUCCUACCACCCACGAGACCGCUGAUACCGUGACCAACAUUCUCCUCCAGCACAUCAUCCCUCGCUUCAGUCUUUCGACCAGCAUUCAGUCUGAUAACGGCCCAGCGUUCAUCUCACAAGUGACUCAGCAGGUGAAGCCCCAGCUGGCAUCCAGCUGCUGGCUUUGCAUCCGAACAGCCCUUCUCCGCAUAUAUGCCACUCCAGUCUACCCUACGAAUGAACGAUAUCCCAAUAGUUAAUCUGACCUCUGUACAGGAAGGACCAAUCUCCCAAGUACAUCUCUCCUCCAAGCCUCAGGGCUGCUUUACAAGUCAAGGUUCCAUUGAGCUUUCUCAGGGAACACGUAUCCACCAUCGCUCCAGUGGCAAUUAAUCAGAUGCUCCUGCACCCCUACGCACCCCUUCCUCAAGACCCUCGACUAGAGGGCGCCAAAUCCACGCUCCUUACAGCCUGAAGCAGCCAGAGAGGUCGUCACCCCUUAUCCUUUGAAGGUCGGAAUGUAAGGUCUGGGGGAAGGGAAAAGAAACAUGGCGGCAACAUU
Molecule: long non-coding RNA, 552 nt
Organism: Tupaia belangeri chinensis (Chinese tree shrew)
Lineage: Eukaryota; Metazoa; Chordata; Mammalia; Scandentia; Tupaiidae
Exons: 3
Source: RefSeq, a predicted model, not a curated record